RNAcentral lists this ribosomal RNA (2216 nucleotides) under metagenome. RNAcentral describes it as "bacterial LSU rRNA". It matches the Rfam family "Bacterial large subunit ribosomal RNA", at positions 14 to 2236 of the family's 2925-position model. The record is from RNAcentral.
AGGGCGCACGGUGGAUGCCUUGGUACUAGGAGCCGAAGAAGGACGGAACUAACACCGAUAUGCUUUGGGGAGCUGUAAGUAAGCUAAGAUCCAAAGAUUUCCGAAUGGGGGAACCCAACACCUUUCAUAGGGUGUUACCAAUGAGUGAAUACAUAGCUCAUUAGGAGGUACACGCAGGGAACUGAAACAUCUCAUUACCUGCAGGAAGAGAAAGAAAAAUCGAUUCCCUGAGUAGCGGCGAGCGAAACGGGAGGAGCCCAAACCAACGAGCUUGCUUGUUGGGGUUGUAGGACUAGAACGUGAGAAGAAAUCAAGAUAGCAGAAGUGGUCUGGAAAGGCCCAUCAAAGAAGGUGACAAUCCUGUACGCGACAUCUUGAUGAACUCUACUAGCAUCCUGAGUACGGCGGGACACGAGGAAUCCCGUCGGAAUCCGCCAGGACCAUCUGGCAAGGCUAAAUACUACCUAGUGACCGAUAGUGAACCAGUACCGUGAGGGAAAGGUGAAAAGAACCCCGGGAGGGGAGUGAAAGAGUACCUGAAACCGUGUGCUUACAAGUAGUCAGAGCCCGUUAAUGGGUGAUGGCGUGCCUUUUGUAGAAUGAACCGGCGAGUUACGUUUACAUGCGAGGUUAAGAUGAAGAGUCGGAGCCGUAGCGAAAGCGAGUCUGAAUAGGGCGCAUGUAGUAUGUGGACGUAGACCCGAAACCAAGUGAUCUACCCAUGUCCAGGUUGAAGGUGCGGUAAAACGCACUGGAGGACCGAACCAGGGCACGUUGAAAAGUGCUUGGAUGAGGUGUGGGUAGCGGAGAAAUUCCAAUCGAACUUGGAGAUAGCUGGUUCUCUCCGAAAUAGCUUUAGGGCUAGCCUCGGAAUCAAGAAUCGUGGAGGUAGAGCACUGUUUGGACUAGGGGCCCAUCUCGGGUUACCGAAUUCAGAUAAACUCCGAAUGCCAUGUAUUUAUAUCCGGGAGUCAGACUGCGAGUGAUAAGAUCCGUAGUCGAAAGGGAAACAGCCCAGACCACCAGCUAAGGUCCCAAAAUAUCUGUUAAGUGGAAAAGGAUGUGGGGUUGCACAGACAACUAGGAUGUUGGCUUAGAAGCAGCCAUCAUUCAAAGAGUGCGUAAUAGCUCACUAGUCGAGUGACCCUGCGCCGAAAAUGUAACGGGGCUAAACAGAUUACCGAAGCUGUGGAUUGGACCUUAUGGUCCAGUGGUAGGAGAGCGUUCUAAGGGCGGUGAAGCAUGAUCGUAAGGACAUGUGGAGCGCUUAGAAGUGAGAAUGCCGGUAUGAGUAGCGAAAGACGGGUGAGAAUCCCGUCCACCGAAUAACUAAGGUUUCCUGGGGAAGGCUCGUCCUCCCAGGGUUAGUCGGGACCUAAGGCGAGGCCGAUAGGCGUAGUCGAUGGACAACAGGUUGAUAUUCCUGUACUUCUAUAAAUCGUUUGAGCAAUGGAGGGACGCAGGAGGCUAAGAAAAGCGUACGACUGGAAGUGUACGCCCAAGCAGUGAGUCGGCUGAUGAGUCAAAUGCUUAUCACGGAUGCGACAAGCUGUGACGGGGAGGGAAGUUUAGUACCGAAGUUUCUGAUGUCACACUGCCGAGAAAAGCUUCUAGCAAGAUUUAUAGGACCCGUACCGCAAACCGACACAGGUAGUUGAGGAGAGAAUCCUAAGGUGAGCGAGCGAACUCUCGUUAAGGAACUCGGCAAAAUGACCCCGUAACUUCGGGAGAAGGGGUGCUGGUAGCAAUACCAGCCGCAGUGAAUAGGCCCAGGCGACUGUUUAUCAAAAACACAGGUCUCUGCAAAAUCGAAAGAUGACGUAUAGGGGCUGACGCCUGCCCGGUGCUGGAAGGUUAAGAGGAGAGGUUAGCCGCAAGGCGAAGCUUUGAAUUGAAGCCCCAGUAAACGGCGGCCGUAACUAUAACGGUCCUAAGGUAGCGAAAUUCCUUGUCGGGUAAGUUCCGACCCGCACGAAAGGCGUAACGAUCUGGGCACUGUCUCAACGAGAGACUCGGUGAAAUUAUAGUACCUGUGAAGAUGCAGGUUACCCGCGACAGGACGGAAAGACCCCAUGGAGCUUUACUGUAGUUUGAUAUUGAGUGUUUGUGUCACAUGUACAGGAUAGGUAGGAGCUGAAGAAUCCGGGACGCCAGUUUCGGAGGAGGCAACGGUGGGAUACUACCCUUGUGACAUGACCACUCUAACCCGCACCCCU